Molecule: unclassified non-coding RNA, 345 nt
Filed under: soil metagenome
Description: partial contains 5.8S ribosomal RNA, internal transcribed spacer 2, and large subunit ribosomal RNA
Rfam family: 5.8S ribosomal RNA (bases 1-120)
Source: RNAcentral
GAUGAAGAACGCAGUGAAAUGCGAUAAGUAGUGUGAAUUGCAGAAUUCAGUGAAUCAUCGAAUCUUUGAACGCACAUUGCGCCCCCUGGUAUUCCGGGGGGCACGCCUGUCCGAGCGUCAUUGCUGCCCUCAAGCACGGCUUGUGUGUUGGGCCUCCGUCCUCCUCCCGGGGGACGGGCCCGAAAGGCAGCGGCGGCACCGCGUCCGGUCCUCGAGCGUAUGGGGCUUCGUCACCCGCUCUUGUAGGCCCGGCCGGCGCUUGCCGACACAUCAAUCUUUUUUCCAGGUUGACCUCGGAUCAGGUAGGGAUACCCGCUGAACUUAAGCAUAUCAAUAAGAGGAGGA